AGUUGAUCUAAGAUGUUCCAGUGACCUAUUUUCUUCAUAACAUGGUUGACACAUUUUGCUCAUAUGAAAGUUGAGGUCAGCUUUGGGAUCAAAGACUUGGUCUCUCCCACAAUUAUAUGUGGUAGUGAUCAGACAUUUUGUCUCUUAGGAACUUGGCCAUCAUAUUUUGUAAGAGACAAUGACGUGAAUGUUGAUGUUUGUAUAUAUAUUGG
This 212-nucleotide long non-coding RNA is filed under the name Hordeum vulgare. RNAcentral's name for it is "long non-coding RNA (HVUL_LNC020537)". Lineage: Eukaryota; Viridiplantae; Streptophyta; Magnoliopsida; Poales; Poaceae. The record is from RNAcentral.